Molecule: long non-coding RNA, 707 nt
Organism: Mustela lutreola (European mink)
Lineage: Eukaryota; Metazoa; Chordata; Mammalia; Carnivora; Mustelidae
Exons: 3
Source: RefSeq, a predicted model, not a curated record
UCUGUCUCUACUGGUUUGGUUAUUGUGGACGUUUCACGUAAAUGGAAUCAGAUGGUGCAGUAGUCCUCCUCCGUGGCUUCAGUUACCUAGGGUCCGCUGAGGUCUGGAAGCAGAACUUUCUCCUUCUGACAUAGGUCCAGUCGCCUAGUGCUGUUGCCUAGAGCAGUCAGUGGUCACCUGGAGCUCUCACGAAGCCAACAUCAUUCACCUCACUUUAUCUCCUCACGUAGGCAUCUUAUCAGCUCAGGAAGGGUUUUAUUUAUUUGUCAGAGUGAGAGGGAAGCGAGCGCACAAGCAGGAGGAGCAGCAGCGGGAGCAGCAGGCUCCACACCGAGCAUGGCUCAUCCGGCUCAUCCGGGGCCCCAGGAUCCUGACCUGAGUCAAAGGCAGCUGUUUCCCGCCAAGGCACCCCCACUCAGCCACCCCCCGCCCCCCGCCCCGGCGCCCCAGGUCUGCCUUUCUACUAAGAUCACUAGAGUGGAUUUUGGGUUUCAUCUUUGCGCUCUUAGGAAACCCGCUGCAAAGGCCUUUCCCCGCGGUCCGCCAAGAGAGAACCCGCUGCGCUGCGGGGCCGGCGAGCGCGGGGGCAGCGGCGCGGUGACGACCGCGGGGUCCGUGGGGUCCCGGCGCGGUGACCACCGGGGGAUCCGUGGGGUCCGUGGGGCAGCGGCGCGGUGACCACCGGGGGGUCCGUGGGGUCCGUGGGG